GAUGAACGCUGGCGGCGUGCCUAAUACAUGCAAGUCGAGCGAAUGGAUUAAGAGCUUGCUCUUAUGAAGUUAGCGGCGGACGGGUGAGUAACACGUGGGUAACCUGCCCAUAAGACUGGGAUAACUCCGGGAAACCGGGGCUAAUACCGGAUAACAUUUUGAACCGCAUGGUUCGAAAUUGAAAGGCGGCUUCGGCUGUCACUUAUGGAUGGACCCGCGUCGCAUUAGCUAGUUGGUGAGGUAACGGCUCACCAAGGCAACGAUGCGUGGCCGACCGGAGGGGGUGAUCGGCCACACGGGGACUGAGACCCGGCCCAGACUCAUACGGGAGGCAGCAGUAGGGAAUCUUCCGCAAUGGACGAAAGUCUGACGGAGCAACGCCGCGUGAGUGAUGAAGGCUUUCGGGUCGUAAAACUCUGUUGUUAGGGAAGAACAAGUGCUAGUUGAAUAAGCUGGCACCUUGACGGUACCUAACCAGAAAGCCACGGCUAACUACGUGCCAGCAGCCGCCGUAA
RNAcentral lists this ribosomal RNA (515 nucleotides) under uncultured bacterium. Its description in RNAcentral is "partial 16S ribosomal RNA". It matches the Rfam family "Bacterial small subunit ribosomal RNA", at positions 28 to 523 of the family's 1533-position model. The record is from RNAcentral.